This 432-nucleotide ribosomal RNA is filed under the name uncultured bacterium. Its description in RNAcentral is "partial 16S ribosomal RNA". It matches the Rfam family "Bacterial small subunit ribosomal RNA", at positions 29 to 506 of the family's 1533-position model. The record is from RNAcentral.
AACGAACGCUGGCGGCAUGCCUAACACAUGCAAGUCGAACGAGACCUUAGGGCUUAGUGGCGCACGGGUGCGUAACGCGUUGGAACCUGCCCUUAGGUUCGGCAUAACUACCCGAAAGGGGUCCUAAUAACGGAUAAUGUCUUCGGACCAACGAUUUAUCGCCUUGGGAUGGGCCCGCGUUGGACUCGCUAGUUGGUAGGGUAAAAGCCUACCAAGGCGACGAUCCAUAGCUGGUCUGAGAGGAUGAUCAGCCACACUGGGACUGGGACACGGCCCAGACUCCGACGGGAGGCAGCAGUGGGGAAGAUUGGACAAUGGGCGAAAGCCUGAGCCAGCAAGGCCGCGUGAGUGAUGAAGGCGGUAGGGUGGUAAAGCUCUUUUACCCGGGAUGGUAAUGACGGUACCGGGAGAAUAAGCUCCGGCUAACUCCGU